RNAcentral lists this non-coding RNA (956 nucleotides) under Pseudotolithus senegallus (law croaker). RNAcentral's name for it is "12S ribosomal RNA". It matches the Rfam family "Bacterial small subunit ribosomal RNA". Lineage: Eukaryota; Metazoa; Chordata; Actinopteri; Sciaenidae. The record is from RNAcentral.
AAAGGUUUGGUCCUGACUUUUCUAUCGGCUCUAGCCAGACUUACACAUGCAAGUAUCCGCAUUCCCGUGAAAAUGCCCAUAGUCCCCUGCCCGAGGAUAUGGAGCUGGUAUCAGGCACAAUCCCUUUAGCCCACGACGCCUUGCUAAGCCACACCCCCAAGGGAAUCCAGCAGUGAUAGACAUUAAGCCAUGAGUGAAAACUUGACUUAGUUAAGGCUACAUAGGGCCGGUAAAUCUCGUGCCAGCCACCGCGGUUAUACGAGCAGGCCCAAGUUGAUAGACCACGGCGUAAAGAGUGGUUAAGGAAUUUACUAAACUAAAGCCGAAGGCUUACAAAGCUGUUAUAGGCGCUCGAAAGUAUGAAGACCAUCCACGAAAGUAGCUUUAACCCUUCCUGACCCCACGAAAGCUGAGAAACAAACUGGGAUUAGAUACCCCACUAUGCUUAGCCCUAAAAAUUGAUUGUGGACUACGCCCCACAUCCGCCCGGGAACUACGAACAAUAGUUUAAAACCCAAAGGACUUGGCGGUGCUUUAAACCCCUCUAGAGGAGCCUGUUCUGUAACCGAUAAUCCCCGUUCAACCUCACCCUCUCUUGCAGCCGUUCCGCCUAUAUACCGCCGUCGUCAGCCUACCGUUUGAAUGACUAGCCGUGAGCAAAAUUGGAAUUAUCCCUAAACGUCAGGUCGAGGUGUAGUUUAUGAGAGGGGAAGAUAAUGGGCUACAUUCGCUAGUAAUAAGCGUACACGAAUGUCACAUUGAAACAUGUAAUUGAAGGUGGAUUUAGAAGUAAGUAGAAAAUAGAGCGUUUUACUGAAUGAGGCCCUAAAGCGCGCACACACCGCCCGUCACCCUCUCCGAUAAAUUUUUUAUCUUUUACUAAACCGCCAGUUGACCCUGAGGAGAGGAAAGUCGUAACAUGGUAAGCGUACCGGAAGGUGUGCUUGGAAAUCUAU